UCCCCAGUUAGAUCUCCAAAUCUGAAUUGUAUCUAAACACCUGUAGAAGCACCAGCUGCAAAACAACAGAGUCUAGGUAGCUGGGAGAGCAGAAAGGGAGGGAGGGAGGGAGGGAGGGAGAAAGGGGAAGUUUCAUGACAGCCUCUGUCUUCAGUGCCGGUGUGUAUUAGCUCAAAAUGAGAAGCCAGACUGUGGCACAAAUAGAGACACCUUCAGAUUGGUAUUAUGCACAAACCCACAUUCAGUAGCUACAGAAAUGUCUCACAGAAUAUGUCUGCUUUUAUGAUGUAAUAUUUAAUAACACCUUAUGCUAAUCUAUUGCACAACCUGGUCUCGUAGCUAGAUCUCCAAAUCCUAAACCAGAGCAGGUAGAAGCUGAUUGAGCUGCAUCCUAAAAGAUUCAGCAAGAAAGAAACUCCCAUCUGCAUACCAGCUUCAGAAAUGGCAAACCUGGAAUUUCAGACUUCAGCAGCAGUGAAACUCUGCUGGAAGAUAUGGCUCCAAUUUCCAUGCCGGAAGCAAUGUGCUGGGGGAUACCCUCCUCCCACCUCCCACCAGGACUUGUUAACAGCAGAAACUCUUGGUCUACCAGAGACAGAACCUUCAGGAAAGACAGAGCACUGAGAACUUCAGACUUUCAAGGUGAUCUAAAGAAUAGUUUUCUUAUAACAAAUGAUGCAGUGCAACAGAACCUACAUUCAAGCAGUAAGAGCAGCUCAUGUAACUCUGUGCUGAUGGUGACUUCUGAGUACUCUGGAUGCAAGCUGUAAGUUUUGACUGAAAACAUUGUGUGGGCACAAUACUAAUGCUAAAAGGAAUGCCCAUCAGGACAAAGUUAGUUUAAGCAAAACACAUUUUAAAUUCACAAGGGAGCCAGAUGUUGGAGCCAUUUGAGAAUCCAAUCCAAAAGCUGCCAGCAGUGGAGGAACUGCAUGAGGAUCCCUCAGCAGUAAGGUGAGCACUGGUUUGCUAUCGAACUCAACCCCAGAUUUCCCUCAUCAGACUUUUGCCAAUAUGCACAUUUUGUACAUGAUCUUGGUCUGUGUAUUGCAAAUCUGCAUUGCAGCUUCACAGAUGGUAGGUUUGGUCUUCUGGGUGGAAAUAUUACAAGUUGUCUUGGAAAUUUUAGAUCUGGGCUUCCUUUCAAGAGAAUCUCAAGUGUAUGUUCUGUGCAGAAAUGCAUCUAUUUCAUUAACUAGCCAAGCCUACAAUAUUAAAAAUCAACUCCAGUCUUCCUUCUCUGGCAGAAUGUGGCACUGUUGACAUUCUAUCAAAAUCCAAAUGUCCUAGGGUUGUAAAAUGCAAACCAUAAGAAUAGUGACUUAUAAUAAAUCUUUGUAGAGAUGAGGAAUUCA
This 1355-nucleotide long non-coding RNA is filed under the name Junco hyemalis (dark-eyed junco). RNAcentral describes it as "lncRNA (ENSJHYG00000001664.1)". Lineage: Eukaryota; Metazoa; Chordata; Aves; Passeriformes; Passerellidae. The record is from RNAcentral.